This 301-nucleotide ribosomal RNA is filed under the name uncultured bacterium. RNAcentral describes it as "partial 16S ribosomal RNA". It matches the Rfam family "Bacterial small subunit ribosomal RNA", at positions 510 to 808 of the family's 1533-position model. The record is from RNAcentral.
AGUAGCCACGGUAAUACGUAGGUGGCAAGCGUUGUCCGGAAUUAUUGGGCGUAAAGGGCUCGCAGGCGGUUUCUUAAGUCUGAUGUGAAAGCCCCCGGCUCAACCGGGGAGGGUCAUUGGAAACUGGGAAACUUGAGUGCAGAAGAGGAGAGUGGAAUUCCACGUGUAGCGGUGAAAUGCGUAGAGAUGUGGAGGAACACCAGUGGCGAAGGCGACUCUCUGGUCUGUAACUGACGCUGAGGAGCGAAAGCGUGGGGAGCGAACAGGAUUAGAUACCCGUGUAGUCCCUGUCUCUUAUACA